AUGGCGCAAGCACCAGAGCUCUGCAUGCCGCGAGCCGUGACCUCCCCGUCCACACCCGCUGCUGCUGCCUCCCCGUCAUCAUCUUCUAGCCCGCUCCUGCCUCGUCCUCGACCUACCUCGCCCGGAUCCGCCGCCGCUCUGUCCCGGAGUCCCGCGCCAAAUCUGCCGCCGGCGGUCCUUGCCGCCUUGUUCGUCAGGGAGACGACGAGCACAUGGCUCGUCAACGCUCCAGCCGUUGACCCCGCGCCAGGGGACGACUCCCCUCGCCUCUUCCUCUGGGCGCGGCCCAUCAUCACCUCUGCCGGCCUCCCCAUCGACUUGGGCCAAGUCCCAUGGGUUGGUUCCGGUAACAUCGCGUUUGUGAGGAACCGUUCGACUACGUCCGUUUGUCUUCUUCAUGGACUCAUUCUUCUUCCUUGCGAGAUUUCACGCAAGAUGACCAUACCCUCGAAAUCACUUCUAUCUUUGCUUGCUAGAUGCUCGCUCUUUUGCUAUGCCUAUGCCGCGAUACCUACCACUUGCUUAUCAUGCCUCCCAUAUUGUUAA
Molecule: ribosomal RNA, 546 nt
Filed under: Triticum aestivum (bread wheat)
Lineage: Eukaryota; Viridiplantae; Streptophyta; Magnoliopsida; Poales; Poaceae
Description: partial small subunit ribosomal RNA
Source: RNAcentral